RNAcentral lists this long non-coding RNA (2827 nucleotides) under Coturnix japonica (Japanese quail). RNAcentral's name for it is "lncRNA (ENSCJPG00005002368.1)". The record is from RNAcentral. Lineage: Eukaryota; Metazoa; Chordata; Aves; Galliformes; Phasianidae.
CCCCAUGUCAUGAUAUACCCAUGUCACGAUACACCCAUGUCCCCAUCCCCAUAUCAUGAUAUAACCAUGUCAUGACAUCCCCAUGUCAUGAUAUUCCCAUGUCCCUGUCCCCAUGUCACGAUAUACCCAUGUCACGAUAUACCCAUGUCAUGACAUACCCAUGUCAUGAUAUACCCAUGUCACACUGUCUCCAUGUCACGACAUACCCAUGUCACACUGUCCCCAUGUCACGAUAUACCCCUGUCACGACAUACCCAUGUCAUGACAUCCUUAUGUCAUGUUGUCCUCAUGUCACGAUAUACCCAUGUCCAACUGUCCCCAUGUCAUGACAUCCCCAUGUCACAUUGUCCUCAUGUCACGGUAUCCCCGUGUCAUGAUAUACCCAUGUUCCCGUCUCCAUGUCACGACAUACCCAUGUCCCUGAACCCAUGUCAUGAUAUACCCAUGUCAUGACAUCCCCAUGUCACGAUAUACCCAUGUCCAACUGUCCCCAUGUCAUGACAUCCCCAUGUCACAUUAUCCUCAUGUCACGGUAUCCCCGUGUCAUGAUAUACCCAUGUCCCCGUCCCCAUGUCACGAUAUACCCAUAUCAUGACAUCGCCAUGUCACCACAUCCCCAUGUCGCAGACCAAUGGCGUGACAUCCCCAUAUCGAGAUAUCCCCAUGUCAUGCUGUCCCCAUGUUGCGAUAUCCCCAUAUUGAGAUAUCCCCAUGUCACGACAUCCCCAUGUCAUGUUGUCCCCAUAUCAUGACAUUCCCAUGUCACGACAUCCCCAUAUCGUGACAUCCACGUGUCACAACAGCUCAUCCCCACGUCAAGAUCCCCAUGUCAUGUCGUCCCCAUGUCACGACAUCCCCAUGUCACAGUCCAAUGUCACGACAUCCCCAUGUCUCGUUGUCCCCAUGUCACGACAUCCCCAUGUCACGAUAUCUCCAUGUCAUGACAUCCCCAUAUCGCGACAUCCAUGUGUCACAACUCAUCCCCAUGUCAACAUCCCCAUGUCAUGUUGUCCCCAUGUCAUGAUAUCCCCAUGUCACGACAUCCCCAUAUCAGGCCAUCCCCAUGUCCCCAGGUCCCCAUGUCACGACAUCCCCAUGUCACAGACCAAUGUCACGAUAUCCCCAUGUCAUGUCAUCCCCAUGUCACGACAUCCCCGUGUCGCAGUCCAAUGUCACGACAUCCCCAUUUCUAAUGGUCCCCAUAUCAUGACAUCCCCAUUUCAUGUUGUCCCCAUGUCACGAUAUCCCCAUGUCACGACAUCCCCAUAUCAAGAUAUCUCCAUGUCAAGAACCCCAUGUCAAACAGUCCCUAUGACACUUCAUCCCCAUGUCACGACAUCCCCAUAUCGUGACAUCCCCAUGUCCCACUCAUCCCCAUGUCAAGAUCCCCAUGUCAUGUCAUGUCAUCCCCAUGUCAAACUGUCCCCAUAUCAUGACAUUCCCCAUGUCACGACAUCCCCAUAUCGUGACAUCCACGUGUCACAACAGCUCAUCCCCACGUCAAAAUCCCCAUGUCACGACAUCCCCAUGUCACGAUAUCUCCAUGUCAUGACAUCCCCAUGUCAANUCAAAAACCCCAUGUCAUACAGUCCCCAUGUCACGACAUCCCCAUGUCACGACAUAACCACGUCACAAUAUCCCCAUGUCACGAUAUCCCCAUGUCACACUGUCCCCAUAUCACGACAUCCCCAUAUCGCAACAUCCCCAUAUCACAUUGUCCCCAUCUCACGACAUCCCCUUGUCUCAACAUCCCCAUGUCAUGAUAUAACCAUGUCACGAUAUAACCAUGUCACCACAACCCCAUAUCAUGACAUCUUCAUGUCGUGACAUCCCCAUGUCCCACUGUCCCCAUAUCAUGACAUCCCCAUGUCAAGUCGUCCCCAUGUCACGUUGUCCCCAUAGCACAACAUCCCCAUGUCAGUGUCCCCAUAUCACGAUAUCCCACGUCACGACAUCCCAAUUUCAGGAUCCCCCAUGUCACGAUAUCCCCAUUUCUAUCUGUCCCCAUAUCACGACAUCCCCAUGUCACACCGUCCCCAUGUCACGAUAUCCCCAUAUCAUGACAUCCCCAUGUUAAGUUGUCCCCAUAUCACGUUGUCCCCAUAUCACGUUGUCCCCAUAUCACGCUGUCCCCAUAUCACUACAUCCCCAUGUCAGUGUCCCCAUAUCACGAUANUAUCACGCUGUCCCCAUAUCACUACAUCCCCAUGUCAGUGUCCCCAUAUCAUGAUAUCCCACGUCACGACAUCCCCAUUUCAGUAUCCCCAUGUCAUGACAUCCCCAUGUCACACUGUCCCCAUGUCACGAUAUCCCCAUUUCUAUCUGUCCCCAUAUCACAACAUCCCCAUGUCACGACAUCCCCUUAUCUCAACAUCCCCGUGUCAUGACAUAACCAUGUCACGAUAUACUCAUGUCACGACAUCCCCAUUUCUAUCUGUCCCCAUGUCACGACAUCCCCAUGUCACAACCCCAUUUCAUGACAUCUUCAUGUCGUGACAUCUCCAUGUCCCACUCCCCCCAUUUCCCACUGUCCCCAUAUCACGACAUCCCCAUGUCACACCGUCCCCAUGUCACGACAUCCCCAUAUCAUGUCAUCCCCAUGUCAUGACAUCCCUAUAUCAUGACAUCCCCAUGUCACGACAUCCCCAUACCAAGACAUCCCCAUGUCAAGUCGUCCCCAUAUCAUGUUGUCCCCAUAUCACACUGUCCCCAUAUCACUACAUCCCCAUGUCAGUGUCUCCAUAUCACAAUAUCCCACAUCACGACAUCCCCAUUUCAGUAUCCCCAUGUCACGAUAUCCAAAUUUCUAUCUGUCCCCAUAUCAUGA